RNAcentral lists this long non-coding RNA (375 nucleotides) under Daphnia pulicaria. Its description in RNAcentral is "uncharacterized LOC124315973, transcript variant X1". Lineage: Eukaryota; Metazoa; Arthropoda; Branchiopoda; Diplostraca; Daphniidae. The record is from RNAcentral.
UUCUACUGUCGCAUACAAAGAAAUUUUUUCAAAUUUAAAAUAUUGGUGUUCUAUUGUCGGUGGAGUUAUACGGUCGCCAUAACGGCGGAUUGUCCCCCCAUCCGCCAGGUCGCGCGAGUGUCUUCGUGAGGAAGAAAUAUUUGCCAUUUGUUUCCGAGGCGUGACUUUAAAGUGUCUUCCAAGUUGAUUGGUGUCGAUCUACAUUUUUAGCCAUUAAAUGUAAUUGGCGAUCUGGCUUAUAAUUUCACUUGGCCAAAUGUGAUGACGUGGGUCGAAAUGUCGGCCAUUGUUAGCUGUACGUCUCAUCUCGUGCAGAAACUCUUUAGAGCUAUUGAUUUUCAGGUCGGAAAUGGAGAUCCCUUUGCUCAACUGUUG